RNAcentral lists this ribosomal RNA (427 nucleotides) under uncultured bacterium. Its description in RNAcentral is "partial 16S ribosomal RNA". It matches the Rfam family "Bacterial small subunit ribosomal RNA", at positions 354 to 796 of the family's 1533-position model. The record is from RNAcentral.
GUGGGGAAUAUUGGGCAAUGGGGGAAACCCUGACCCAGCAACGCCGCGUGAAGGAAGAAGGCUUUCGGGUUGUAAACUUCUUUUAUGAGGGACGAAGAAGUGACGGUACCUCAUGAAUAAGCCACGGCUAACUACGUACCAGCAGCCGCGGUAAUACGUAGGUGGCAAGCGUUGUCCGGAUUUACUGGGUGUAAAGGGCGCGUAGGCGGGAUAGCAAGUCAGGUGUGAAAUCCGGGGGCUUAACCCUCGAACUGCACUUGAAACUGUUAUUCUUGAGUGAUGGAGAGGCAAGCGGAAUUCCUAGUGUAGCGGUGAAAUGCGUAGAUAUUAGGAGGAACACCAGUGGCGAAGGCGGCUUGCUGGACAUUAACUGACGCUGAGGCGCGAAAGCGUGGGGAGCAAACAGGAUUAGAUACCCGUGUAGUCC